AGGUCAGAAAUCAAGCGACAAGAAAUCAUCUGUCAUCGAACAUGUAACAAUGGUCGUCCGAAUCCAUAACUGAAUCAUGCACACAUAUCCAAAAUGUACCUCCCAGAUGGAGAGGCAUGAUGGCAUCCAAGUGUCGAGAAGUGCGGACCUGGCUGGAUGGAUCUCAGAGGCUCCGUAAGGUAACGAUCAUGUCCACGUCUCGAUGAGCAUCCAGUAAGUGAUGAUCGCGCAAGUCCGUGAGGAUCCAUGAACCUCCAAAUGAAAUGGGAUAUGCCCCAGUGUGGCACCAGAGGUAUGAUAGGU
Molecule: long non-coding RNA, 303 nt
Filed under: Vitis vinifera (wine grape)
Lineage: Eukaryota; Viridiplantae; Streptophyta; Magnoliopsida; Vitales; Vitaceae
Description: long non-coding RNA (VVIN_LNC007420)
Source: RNAcentral